GAUGAACGCUGGCGGCGUGCCUAAUACAUGCAAGUCGAGCGAACGGACGAGAAGCUUGCUUCUCUGAUGUUAGCGGCGGACGGGUGAGUAACACGUGGAUAACCUACCUAUAAGACUGGGAUAACUUCGGGAAACCGGAGCUAAUACCGGAUAAUAUUUUGAACCGCAUGGUUCAAAAGUGAAAGACGGUCUUGCUGUCACUUAUAGAUGGAUCCGCGCUGCAUUAGCUAGUUGGUAAGGUAACGGCUUACCGAGGCAACGAUGCAUAGCCGACCUGAGAGGGUGAUCGGCCACACUGGAACUGAGACGCGGUCCAGACUCCUACGGGAGGCAGCAGUAGGGAAUCUUCCGCAAUGGGCGAAAGCCUGACGGAGCAACGCCGCGUGAGUGAUGAAGGUCUUCGGAUCGUAAAACUCUGUUAUUAGGGAAGAACAUAUGUGUAAGUAACUGUGCACAUCUUGACGGUACCUAAUCAGAAAGCCACGGCUAACUACGUG
This 497-nucleotide ribosomal RNA is filed under the name uncultured bacterium. RNAcentral describes it as "partial 16S ribosomal RNA". It matches the Rfam family "Bacterial small subunit ribosomal RNA", at positions 28 to 507 of the family's 1533-position model. The record is from RNAcentral.